GCAUAUCAAUAAGCGGAGGAAAAGAAACCAACAGGGAUUGCCCCAGUAACGGCGAGUGAAGCGGCAAGAGCUCAAAUUUGAAAGCUGGCUCCUUCGGGGUCCGCAUUGUAAUUUGCAGAGGAUGCUUCGGGAGCGGUCCCCAUCUAAGUGCCCUGGAACGGGACGUCAUAGAGGGUGAGAAUCCCGUAUGGGAUGGGGUGUCCGCGCCCGUGUGAAGCUCCUUCGACGAGUCGAGUUGUUUGGGAAUGCAGCUCUAAAUGGGUGGUAAAUUUCAUCUAAAGCUAAAUAUUGGCCGGAGACCGAUAGCGCACAAGUAGAGUGAUCGAAAGAUGAAAAGCACUUUGAAAAGAGAGUUAAAAAGCACGUGAAAUUGUUGAAAGGGAAGCGCUUGCGACCAGACUCGCUCGCGGGGUUCAGCCGGCAUUCGUGCCGGUGUAUUUCCCCGCGGGCGGGCCAGCGUCGGUUUGGGCGGUCGGUCAAAGGCCCUCGGAAGGUAACGCCCCUAGGGGCGUCUUAUAGCCGAGGGUGCAAUGCGACCUGCCUAGACCGAGGAACGCGCUUCGGCUCGGACGCUGGCAUAAUGGUCGUAAGCGACCCGUCUUG
RNAcentral lists this ribosomal RNA (603 nucleotides) under Penicillium solitum. RNAcentral's name for it is "eukaryotic LSU rRNA". It matches the Rfam family "Eukaryotic large subunit ribosomal RNA", at positions 38 to 656 of the family's 3401-position model. Lineage: Eukaryota; Fungi; Ascomycota; Eurotiomycetes; Eurotiales; Aspergillaceae. The record is from RNAcentral.